AACCCAUGAUGAGGGCACCUUCUUAGUAGAUCCUUGUAUCUCUCCCAUGCAUCAUAGAGUGUUUCUAAAUCCAUCUGCACAAAAGAAGAAAUGUCAUCCCUUAGUUU
Molecule: non-coding RNA, 107 nt
Organism: Gossypium arboreum
Lineage: Eukaryota; Viridiplantae; Streptophyta; Magnoliopsida; Malvales; Malvaceae
Source: Rfam